AUUGAACGCUGGCGGCAUGCCUUACACAUGCAAGUCGAAUGGUAACAGGUCUUCGGAUGCUGACGAGUGGCGAACGGGUGAGUAAUACAUCGGAACGUGCCUAGUAGUGGGGGAUAACUACUCGAAAGAGUGGCUAAUACCGCAUGAGAUCUACGGAUGAAAGCAGGGGAUCGCAAGACCUUGUGCUACUAGAGCGGCCGAUGGCAGAUUAGGUAGUUGGUGGGAUAAAAGCUUACCAAGCCGACGAUCUGUAGCUGGUCUGAGAGGACGAUCGGCCACACUGGGACUGAGACACGGCCCAGACUCCUACGGGAGGCAGCAGUGGGGAAUUUUGGACAAUGGGCGCAAGCCUGAUCCAGCAAUGCCGCGUGCAGGAUGAAGGCCUUCGGGUUGUAAACUGCUUUUGUACGGAACGAAAAGCCCUGGGUUAAUACCCUGGGGUCAUGACGGUACCGUAAGAAUAAGCACCGGCUAACUACGUGCCAGCAGCAGCCGCCG
Molecule: ribosomal RNA, 498 nt
Filed under: uncultured bacterium
Lineage: Bacteria
Description: partial 16S ribosomal RNA
Rfam family: Bacterial small subunit ribosomal RNA
Source: RNAcentral